UGGUCUGGAGUCAACACCAUGGCGUGGGCCCCGCUCCUCCUCACUCUGUUCACAUGCUGCACAGGUUCUCUUGCCCAGGAUGUGCCGAAACAACCGCCUUCAGUGUCUGUGUCUCCAGGACAAACUGCUAAACUCACCUGCACGGGAGAGAACUUUGAUAGCAAUGCAGUGAGCUGGUACCAACAGAAACCUGGCAGUGCCCCUCUGCUCCUCAUAUAUGCUGAUGAUAUCACAGCUGAUGGAAUCCCAGAGCGAUUCUCUGGUGCCAAGUCUGGGAACACGGCCACACUGACCAUCACUGGAGUCCAAGCCCAGGACGAGGCUGACUAUUACUGUGCAGCUUAUGCUAUUGGCAGUGAUGCACCUCACAGUGACACAUUGCAAUGGGGAAGAGAAAAUCUGGAGAGCACAUUUGUGAGCUGGUACCAACAGAAACCUGGUGGUGCCCCACUGCUGCUUAUAUACUUCAGUAAUAUGAAAGCUGAUGGGAUCCCAGAUCAAUUCUCUGAUGCCAGCUCUGGGAACAUGGCCACGCUGACCAUCACUGGAGUCUAA
This is a non-coding RNA of Alligator mississippiensis (American alligator), 555 nucleotides long. NCBI's taxonomy places the organism in Eukaryota, Metazoa, Chordata, Crocodylia, Alligatoridae. The record is from the annotation of a RefSeq genome assembly.